This 85-nucleotide ribosomal RNA is filed under the name Hylobates agilis (agile gibbon). Its description in RNAcentral is "partial 12S rRNA". The record is from RNAcentral. Lineage: Eukaryota; Metazoa; Chordata; Mammalia; Primates; Hylobatidae.
ACCCCUAACUAAACACCCCGCGCAUCUAUAUAGAGGAGAUAAGUCGUAACAUGGUAAGUGUACUGGAAAGUGCACUUGGACAAAC